UGCGCCUCUGGCGGAAUGGCAGACGCAGCGGACUUAAAAUCCGUGGUCGAAGGACGAUAAGGGUUCAAGUCCCUUGAGGCGCAU
This 84-nucleotide transfer RNA is filed under the name compost metagenome. RNAcentral describes it as "tRNA-Leu". It matches the Rfam family "tRNA". From Rfam's summary of the family: Transfer RNA (tRNA) molecules are approximately 80 nucleotides in length. Their secondary structure includes four short double-helical elements and three loops (D, anti-codon, and T loops). The record is from RNAcentral.